AGUGAAGCGGCAACAGCUCAAAUUUGAAAUCUGGCUCUCGGGCCCGAGUUGUAAUUUGUAGAGGAUGCUUUUGGUGCGGUGCCUUCCGAGUGCCCUGGAACGGGACGCCAUAGAGGGUGAGAGCCCCGUCUGGUUGGAUGCCAAUCCUCUGUAAAGCUCCUUCGACGAGUCGAGUAGUUUGGGAAUGCUGCUCUAAAUGGGAGGUAUAUGUCUUCUAAAGCUAAAUACCGGCCAGAGACCGAUAGCGCACAAGUAGAGUGAUCGAAAGAUGAAAAGCACUUUGAAAAGAGAGUUAAAAAGUACGUGAAAUUGUUGAAAGGGAAGCGUUUAUGACCAGACUUGGGCUUGGUUAAUCAUCCAGGGUUCUCCCUGGUGCACUUUUCCAGUCCAGGCCAGCAUCAGUUUGCUUCGGGGGACAAAGGCUUCGGGAAUGUGGCUCUCUCCGGGGAGUGUUAUAGCCCGUUGCGUAAUACCCUGGGGCGGACUGAGGUACGCGCUUCUGCAAGGAUGCUGGCGUAAUGGUCAUCAACGACCCGUCUUGAAACACGGACCAAGGAGUCGUCUUCGUAUGCGAGUGUUCGGGUGUCAAACCCCUACGCGUAAUGAAAGUGAACGCAGGUGAGAGCUUCGGCGCAUCAUCGACCGAUCCUGAUGUUCUCGGAUGGAUUUGAGUAAGAGCAUACGGGGCCGGACCCGAAAGAAGGUGAACUAUGCUUGUAUAGGGUGAAGCCAGAGGAAACUCUGGUGGAGGCUCGCAGCGGUUCUGACGUGCAAAUCGAUCGUCAAAUAUGAGCAUGGGGGCGAAAGACUA
RNAcentral lists this ribosomal RNA (811 nucleotides) under Fusarium decemcellulare. RNAcentral describes it as "partial large subunit ribosomal RNA". It matches the Rfam family "Eukaryotic large subunit ribosomal RNA", at positions 92 to 933 of the family's 3401-position model. The record is from RNAcentral. Lineage: Eukaryota; Fungi; Ascomycota; Sordariomycetes; Hypocreales; Nectriaceae.